CUAUGUUUCUAAAAUUGAUCCAAAACCAACACAAAACUGAAAAAGUUCUUUGCCACCAAAAUGAUACCAUGUUUAACUUUACCCAAGCAUUUUGCAUACUGUUUUCACAAUAUAAUCAAUAAAUAUUAGUAUAUGCUCUUCCAAUAACACCAUUUUAUUGACUAAUCCGACAGAACUCUGAUGGUAACAUACUUGGAAGUGCUAGAAACAGCAGCUCUGUGCCCAAGAAUAUCUAUAA
This 238-nucleotide unclassified non-coding RNA is filed under the name Hevea brasiliensis (rubber tree). Lineage: Eukaryota; Viridiplantae; Streptophyta; Magnoliopsida; Malpighiales; Euphorbiaceae. The record is from RNAcentral.